CUGCUUUUGUACGGAACGAAAGGCUCUGCCCUAAUACGGCGGAGAUAUGACGGUACCGUAAGAAUAAGCACCGGCUAACUACGUGCCAGCAGCCGCGGUAAUACGUAGGGUGCAAGCGUUAAUCGGAAUUACUGGGCGUAAAGCGUGCGCAGGCGGUUAUAUAAGUCAGAUGUGAAAUCCCCGGGCUCAACCUGGGAACUGCAUUUGAGACUGUAUAGCUGGAGUACGGCAGAGGGGGAUGGAAUUCCGCGUGUAGCAGUGAAAUGCGUAGAUAUGCGGAGGAACACCGAUGGCGAAGGCAAUCCCCUGGGCCUGUACUGACGCUCAUGCACGAAAGCGUGGGGAGC
This 347-nucleotide ribosomal RNA is filed under the name uncultured bacterium. RNAcentral's name for it is "bacterial SSU rRNA". It matches the Rfam family "Bacterial small subunit ribosomal RNA", at positions 430 to 769 of the family's 1533-position model. The record is from RNAcentral.